AAUGGCAGGGAACGUAUAUAGCUUCGGGGUUGUUCUACUGGAACUGCUGACAGGAAAGCCAGCAGUUAGCGAGGGAAGUGAAUUAGCCAAGUGGGUCUUAAAUAGCUCAAAGCAGCAGAAUAGGUGGGAUCACAUCCUCGACUUUAACGUCAGUAAAACAUCACUAGCUGUCAGAGGCCAAAUGCUUGCAAUGCUCAAGAUUGCUCUCAGUUGUGUCAGUGUUUCACCAGAAGCAAGGCCAAAGAUGAAGAGUGUGUUACGGAUGAUCCUCAAUGCACGGUGAAGCCUAGCCUCAUGAAGCAUAUCUGUCUAUUAGUAUGCAUAAGAUGAUCAUCU
RNAcentral lists this unclassified non-coding RNA (336 nucleotides) under Hevea brasiliensis (rubber tree). Lineage: Eukaryota; Viridiplantae; Streptophyta; Magnoliopsida; Malpighiales; Euphorbiaceae. The record is from RNAcentral.